This 118-nucleotide long non-coding RNA is filed under the name Zonotrichia albicollis (white-throated sparrow). RNAcentral's name for it is "lncRNA (ENSZALG00000008274.1)". The record is from RNAcentral. Lineage: Eukaryota; Metazoa; Chordata; Aves; Passeriformes; Passerellidae.
AUCUCUGGAAGAAUUUUCAGCUCUAAAGGUCUCUUGGAACAGAGAGGAGCUUAACACACACACAUCUGCUCUGUGCAACAGCAGACACAUCUCUUCAUGCUGUAGAGACAACAUGAGA